Long non-coding RNA from Cebus imitator (Panamanian white-faced capuchin), 159 nucleotides. RefSeq lists it as uncharacterized. Lineage: Eukaryota; Metazoa; Chordata; Mammalia; Primates; Cebidae. The record is from RefSeq and is a predicted model, not a curated record. The transcript has 3 exons.
AAAAUAUGAAUUUAGGGGCCAGGCUCACAUCCGUAACCGCAGCACUUUGGGAGGCCAAGGUGGGUAGAUCACCUGAGAUCAGGAGUUCGAGACCAGCUUAUCCAACAUGGUGAAAUCCUGUCUCUACUAAAAAUACAAAAAUCAGCCAGGCUUGGUAGC